This 253-nucleotide ribosomal RNA is filed under the name uncultured bacterium. Its description in RNAcentral is "partial 16S ribosomal RNA". It matches the Rfam family "Bacterial small subunit ribosomal RNA", at positions 524 to 776 of the family's 1533-position model. The record is from RNAcentral.
GACGGAGGGGGCUAGCGUUGCUCGGAGUCACUGGGCGUAAAGGGUGCGUAGGCGGGUCUUUAAGUCAGGGGUGAAAUCCUGGAGCUCAACUCCAGAACUGCCUUUGAUACUGAAGAUCUUGAGUUCGUGAGAGGUGAGUGGAACUGCGAGUGUAGAGGUGAAAUUCGUAGAUAUUCGCAAGAACACCAGUGGCGAAGGCGGCUCACUGGCCCGAUACUGACGCUGAGGCACGAAAGCGUGGGGAGCAAACAGG